This 808-nucleotide ribosomal RNA is filed under the name uncultured Planctomycetota bacterium. RNAcentral describes it as "bacterial SSU rRNA". It matches the Rfam family "Bacterial small subunit ribosomal RNA", at positions 46 to 832 of the family's 1533-position model. Lineage: Bacteria; Pseudomonadati; Planctomycetota. The record is from RNAcentral.
GGAUUAGGCAUGCAAGUCGCACGAGAAAGGCUUCUUCGGAAGCCGAGUAAAGUGGCGAACGGGUGAGUAAUGCAUAGACAACUCGCCCUUGAGAUGGGGACAACGCCUCGAAAGGGGUGCUAAUACCCAAUGCCGCCUUGGGCCUGCGGGUCCAGGGUGAAAGGAGGCCUCUGAUUCAAGCUUCCGCUCAAGGAGAGGUUUAUGUCCUAUUAGCUAGUUGGCGGGGUAACGGCCCACCAAGGCUGCGAUGGGUAGCCGACCUGAGAGGGUGACCGGCCACAUUGGGACUGAGACACUGCCCAGACUCCUACGGGAGGCUGCAGUCGAGAAUCUCCCGCAAUGCGCGCAAGCGUGACGGAGCGACGCCGCGUGGGUGAUGAAGGCCUUCGGGUUGUAAAACCCUGUCAGCUACUACGAAACACGGGCGAUGAACAAUCGUCCCGUCUGACUUAAGUAGCAGAGGAAGCACCGGCUAACUACGUGCCAGCAGCCGCGGUAAUACGUAGGGUGCGAACGUUGUUCGGAAUCACUGGGCAUAAAGGGCGCGUAGGCGGUCUGAUAAGUCAGGUGUGAAAUCCCUCGGCCUAACCGAGGAACUGCAUUUGAUACUGUCGGGCUAGAGUACAGGAGGGGAGAGUGGAAUUCCUGGUGGAGCUGUGAAAUGCGUAGAUAUCAGGAGGAACGCCGGCGGCGAAAGCGACUCUCUGGCCUGUUACUGACGCUGAGGCGCGAAAGCUAGGGGAGCAAACGGGAUUAGGUACCCCGGUAGUCCUAGCCCUAAACGAUGGGCACUAAGUAGAGGGGUUUU